RNAcentral lists this ribosomal RNA (540 nucleotides) under fungal sp. STRK1. RNAcentral describes it as "eukaryotic LSU rRNA". The stretch from base 173 to 326 matches the Rfam family "5.8S ribosomal RNA". Lineage: Eukaryota; Fungi. The record is from RNAcentral.
GGGGGCUUGGGGUUCUCUCCGAGACUCCCAACCAUUGUGAACCUACCCGUUACCGUUGCCUCGGCGGGCGUCCCCUCCCUGGGGACGCGGCCCUUCGGGGUGCCCGCCGGCGGCCCACGAAACUCUUUUUGUAUUCUAGUGGACUCUCUGAGAAAACAAGCCAAUAAGUUAAAACUUUCAACAACGGAUCUCUUGGUUCUGGCAUCGAUGAAGAACGCAGCGAAAUGCGAUAAGUAAUGUGAAUUGCAGAAUUCAGUGAAUCAUCGAAUCUUUGAACGCACAUUGCGCCCGCCAGUAUUCUGGCGGGCAUGCCUGUCCGAGCGUCAUUUCAACCCUCAAGCCCUGCUUGGUGUUGGGGUCCUACGGCUGCCGUAGGCCCUGAAAGCUAGUGGCGGGCUCGCUACCACUCCGAGCGCAGUAACGUAUCUCGCUAGGGAAGUGUGUUGCGGGUUCCGGCCGUGAAACCCCCCAUUUACCAGGUUGACCUCGGAUCAGGUAGGAAUACCCGCUGAACUUAAGCAUAUCAAUAAGCGGAGGAAG